This 253-nucleotide ribosomal RNA is filed under the name uncultured bacterium. RNAcentral's name for it is "partial 16S ribosomal RNA". It matches the Rfam family "Bacterial small subunit ribosomal RNA", at positions 524 to 776 of the family's 1533-position model. The record is from RNAcentral.
UACGUAGGGUGCAAGCGUUGUCCGGAAUUAUUGGGCGUAAAGAGCUCGUAGGCGGUUUGUCGCGUCUGCUGUGAAAACUCGGGGCUUAACCCCGGGCCUGCAGUGGGUACGGGCAGACUAGAGUGCGGUAGGGGAGACUGGAAUUCCUGGUGUAGCGGUGAAAUGCGCAGAUAUCAGGAGGAACACCGGUGGCGAAGGCGGGUCUCUGGGCCGAUACUGACGCUGAGGAGCGAAAGCGUGGGGAUCAAACAGG